AUACUUACCCAGCAGAGGAGAUACCAUGGUCACAAAGGUGGCUCUCCCAGGACAAGGCUGAUCCAUUGCACUCCAGAUGUGCUGACCCCUACGAUUUCCCCAAAUGUGGGAAACUGAGCUGCAAAAUUUAUGAUAGAUGGUGCUUUCUCCUGGGGGGGAGGCAGGGGAGACUCCUG
RNAcentral lists this small nuclear RNA (176 nucleotides) under Dasypus novemcinctus (nine-banded armadillo). RNAcentral describes it as "U1 spliceosomal RNA (ENSDNOG00000027801.1)". It matches the Rfam family "U1 spliceosomal RNA". Rfam says of the family: U1 is a small nuclear RNA (snRNA) component of the spliceosome (involved in pre-mRNA splicing). Lineage: Eukaryota; Metazoa; Chordata; Mammalia; Cingulata; Dasypodidae. The record is from RNAcentral.